GACGAACGCUGGCGGCGUGCUUAACACAUGCAAGUCGAACGGAAAGGCCCUGCUUUUGUGGGGUGCUCGAGUGGCGAACGGGUGAGUAACACGUGAGUAACCUGCCCUUGACUUUGGGAUAACUUCAGGAAACUGGGGCUAAUACCGGAUAGGAGCUCCUGCUGCAUGGUGGGGGUUGGAAAGUUUCGGCGGUUGGGGAUGGACUCGCGGCUUAUCAGCUUGUUGGUGGGGUAGUGGCUUACCAAGGCUUUGACGGGUAGCCGGCCUGAGAGGGUGACCGGCCACAAUGGGACUGAGAUACGGACCAGACUCCAACGGGAGGCAGCAGUGGGGAACAUUGCACAGUGGGCGGAAGCCUGAUGCAGCAACGCCGCGUGCGGGAUGACGGCCUUCGGGUUGUAAACCGCUUUCGCCUGUGACGAAGCGUGAGUGACGGUAAUGGGUAAAGAAGCACCGGCUAACUACGUG
This 468-nucleotide ribosomal RNA is filed under the name uncultured bacterium. Its description in RNAcentral is "partial 16S ribosomal RNA". It matches the Rfam family "Bacterial small subunit ribosomal RNA", at positions 28 to 507 of the family's 1533-position model. The record is from RNAcentral.